This 406-nucleotide ribosomal RNA is filed under the name uncultured bacterium. RNAcentral's name for it is "partial 16S ribosomal RNA". It matches the Rfam family "Bacterial small subunit ribosomal RNA", at positions 30 to 526 of the family's 1533-position model. The record is from RNAcentral.
AUUGAACGCUGGCGGCAGGCCUAACACAUGCAAGUCGGACGAGUGGAGGACGGGUGUGUAAUGUCUGGGAAACCGUAUGAUGGAGGGGGAUAACUACUGGAUACGGUCUCAAACUGCGUCUAUCAUCGUAUGCGCCCAUAGGGGUAUAGCUACUAGGUGGGGUAAAGGCUCAUCUAGGCGACGCUCCCUAGAUGGUCUGAGAGGAUGACCAGCCACACUGGAACUGAGACACGGUCCAGACUCCUACGGGAGGCAGCAGGGGGGAAUAUUGCACAAUGGGCGCAAGCCUGAUGCAGCGAUGCCGGGUGUAUGAAGACGGCCUUCGGGUUGUAAAGUACUUUCAGCUGGGAGGCGUUACCCGCAUAAGAAGCACCGGCUAACUCCGUGCCAGCAGCCGCGGUAAUAC